UACAAGGUUCAUGCGCUUGGCAACAUUCAGGGCACACCCGGAGUGUUGUAUAGGAGCUGUGCACACACAGCUCUUCUCAAGGGCAUGAACCUUGGAAUCUCGCCCAGAUGACAUGAACCGUGGGAAGCCUCCCAGGACUGGGCUCAAGGCCCGAGAGCAAGGAAUGCGGUAGAUAGAAACUGGUAAAUAAGAAUGUUAAACAAAGCCAGUGUAUUCCUUUUAUCUGUCGGAGAAUGUAAUGCGCGGGGGGAGAGAAAGAAUAAAGGGGAAGGUGGAAAGCUGACAGGCAGAAGCCCGUUAGCAGACCAGCUUGCUUGCUUGCUUAAAGCUCUGUGCUGUCUUGUCAUUGAACCACAACAACUGGUGCCCAAACGUGGGGCCCUCAGCACUCACCUCGCCCGGCAAGGGUUUCAGACGCGUCACUCAUCCGCUUCGCGGAUCCCGGACUGUUGUGGGUUCCAGCCCGGUGUGUGCGACCGGCACUGAAACAGCAUGGCGUGGCACCAGGGGCUGUCGAACGCCAUACCGGAGUUUCAGCUCUCCUGGGAGGAGAACGCAGUGCCUCCUGGGUCGACAACGACGGGACGGAAACGGAGGAGGCGUAGCGUCCCAAGCCAGCCCGUGACAUGGGGAGCAGUAAAAGCAUUGGUCGCCGCGGCUCAACGAAGACUGGCAGCAAACCAACAGCCAGAGACUUCUGAGACUCUGUUUGUGGCAAUUCUGUUUGUGCCCAAAUUACUGCUAAUUCUGUAUUGAUUGUAUGCCUUUUGUGCCUGCUAUUUCCUGUAGGGGUUGGCUCGGGAGCGCUUUCUCCGUUACGCUCCCGAAUGAUAUAUAACCUAUGGGAAAUAUUGGCUUCAAUAGCAAAUGUUACCCACUUUUGUUUAUCUGAUUUUGUAGCAGCUGAAGAAUUGUUAGGUAUGUGCCUUAUUCCAGUAUGUCAUCACCCUGAGGAAAUUGGAAAUGAGAUGAUGCUCGCUGCUUACGCGAACCUCUCUUCCCAGUACUCUAGCAUGGCUAAUUGGGGCCCGGCCAAUUACACUUUACCUUCUUGAGCUUAUUUUUUGCUGUUGCUGUGUGCAAUGUAUUUCCUUUUUGUUAAGGCUUUGUCGAGAACCGCCCUGGCAGGCUCCACGAGUUAUGACCUCAUCUGUCCGGGAGUUAAUUGGCUUGCGAGAGCAAAUUGAUGGCUACCAUGAGAUGGCCGAGCACAAAUAAACAAAAAAGGAGGGGAUGUAGGAUUCAUACAAGGUUCAUGCGCUUGGCAACAUUCAGGGCACACCCGGAGUGUUGUAUAGGAGCUGUGCACACACAGCUCUUCUCAAGGGCAUGAACCUUGGAAUCUCGCCCAGAUGACAUGAACCGUGGGAAGCCUCCCAGGACUGGGCUCAAGGCCCGAGAGCAAGGAAUGCGGUAGAUAGAAACUGGUAAAUAAGAAUAUUAAACAAAGCCAGUGUAUUCCUUUUAUCUGUCGGAGAAUGUAAUGCGCGGGGGGAGAGAAAGAAUAAAGGGGAAGGUGGAAAGCUGUCAGGCAGAAGCCCGUUAGCAGACCAGCUUGCUUGCUUGAA
Molecule: long non-coding RNA, 1568 nt
Organism: Caretta caretta (loggerhead turtle)
Lineage: Eukaryota; Metazoa; Chordata; Testudines; Cheloniidae
Source: RefSeq, a predicted model, not a curated record